UUGCUGUCAAAAGACUAUCCAAGAAUUCAGGACAAGGAACGGAAGAGUUUAAAAAUGAAGUUCUACUGAUAGCCAAACUUCAGCAUAGAAAUUUGGUUAGGCUUCUAGCUUGUUGUGUCCAUGAAGAAGAAAAGAUGCUAAUCUAUGAGUACAUGCCCAACAAAAGCUUGGACUCUUUCAUUUUCGAUGAAAGUAAGAGGGCAUUACUUGAUUGGAGAAAACGAUUUGAAAUCAUAGUUGGAAUUGCUUGAGGUGUUCUCUAUCUUCACCAAGACUCCAGGUUGAGAAUCAUUCAUAGAGAUUUGAAAACCAGCAAUGUGCUGCUAGACGAAGUGAUGAACCCCAAAAUUUCAGAUUUCGGUAUGGCAAGAAUUUUUGGAGGAAACCAAAUUCAAGCAAAUACAACCAAAGUGGUUGGGACAUGGUAAGCUUUUCUAUCCUUCCUUCUUUUUCGUAAG
Long non-coding RNA from Telopea speciosissima, 458 nucleotides. RefSeq lists it as uncharacterized. NCBI's taxonomy places the organism in Eukaryota, Viridiplantae, Streptophyta, Magnoliopsida, Proteales, Proteaceae. The transcript is spliced from 2 exons. The record is from RefSeq and is a predicted model, not a curated record.